This 1038-nucleotide long non-coding RNA is filed under the name Felis catus (domestic cat). RNAcentral describes it as "lncRNA (ENSFCAG00000050254.1)". Lineage: Eukaryota; Metazoa; Chordata; Mammalia; Carnivora; Felidae. The record is from RNAcentral.
AUGCGCCAAGGGGCUGCAGGUACUUGGGCUGCAUUUGAGGAAGUGUCCGGAGUUGGCGGAAACAACCCAUCCACUCCGGCUCUCGCUGGCGCAGGGCUGCAGCGGCUUAGCUCAGACACACACCAGGAUUUGAGGCUUUCUAGAAAACGGCGUGGCCGAGGCCCCGGGCUGGGGCUCGAUGCGCGCCGACCGAGACCGGAUCAGCUCUCCGGCCCGGGGCAGAAGGAAGGCGAGGCAGGGGUCGAGGCGCACGGGCUGGGUGUGCACUCGCCGGCCCCCCUCCGCCCCGACCCGGGGAGCGCGGGGCCCCGACUACAGGACGGCCCAGGUUGGCUGUCUCUAGAGUUUCAGAGUUGGAGAGUGGAGGAGUGCGUGCUGGCGCCGGGACACAGCAGAUCCCCCGGGAAGGGAAGAGAAGGGAAAGGAGGGAGAGGCGGCGCAGCCGUCGGCUGGGACCAAGCGCGCGCUGGCUCCCCAAGCCCGGUGCGGGCGCAGCCCCCCGCUCCCCGGACACACCCACUGCGCCCGCCGCCCGCGCCGUCGCCCCGAGGUCCAGAGCGGGCCCGGGAGGAGGACAGCGGCCGGGCCGGGUCGGGGCCGCGCGGGCGGGGCGCAGGGGGCGCGGGCGGCUCUGCUCACCUGGCGGUCCGCGUCCCGGAGCGGCCGGCGGCCGCCUCGCCUCGCCCCCGCGUGCUUCCCGGCGCCGGGCAGCCCCGAGCCCGCCGCAUGGACGGCCGCCGCCUCCGCCCCGCGCCCGCCCUGCACGGGCUCCCGCUGCGCCCCGGUUCGGCGUCGGGCUGCGCGGGCGGCCAGAGGCUCGGGCGCGCGCGGAAAGCUGUGGCUCGAAGUUUGCGACCGGGAGAACCGGGAUCCGCGCUCCCUCGGUCCCUCCUCCCUCCCCCACCGGCGGCCUCCCGCUGUCAUCUGGAGCCGCUACUGCCGCCCCCUGGCGGCCGCCUCGGGAAGGAACGCCCCCCCCCCCCCCCAACCUCCCGCCGUGACCCCGGAGGGGGCCCUUACAAACAGGAGCGGGACUGA